Long non-coding RNA from Sorghum bicolor (sorghum), 1087 nucleotides. RefSeq lists it as uncharacterized. NCBI's taxonomy places the organism in Eukaryota, Viridiplantae, Streptophyta, Magnoliopsida, Poales, Poaceae. The record is from RefSeq and is a predicted model, not a curated record. The transcript is spliced from 4 exons.
AUUUCUUGUUCACGAAAUCACGUCGACGAAAGUAUCGAGGCCCGUCGAAACCAGCAGAAACGCACUGGGGAGAAACCAGUCGUUUCUUGUCCCCGAGGACCGGAUCAGGUGCUCCGCCGCCGGCUCCUUCCCGCGUGCGUCGAGCAGCAGCAGCUCCUUCCCGCGCGCAACGAGACCAGCAGCUCCUUCCCGCGUGCCCCCGACCUACUUCCCGCGCGCCCCCGGCCUACUUCCCGCGCUCAGCCGCCAGCUUCCCGCGAGCUCUCGCGCAGGCAGUCAAAUAGGAUCCCCAAUCUUCCCCAAUCUGGCGACCAUGAACCCACUCCGGCCGCCAUCGUCAAGCUCCAGGCAAGUUAGGGCAGGCAAUGGACGGGUAGGGAAGGGUACAGCAGGGCAAGGCAGGGGUGCUCCCGCAGCCGCCGUGGCUGGCCAAUUUGGUGUGGUUGCUGGUGCUGCCGUAGCUCCUACUGUUGAUCGAUCCAGCGAGGCAGCAGCUGCAUCUCCAACUCUUCCAAGUUUUGAAGCUAGUUAUUUACCUGCAUGGUGGACAAGUUCCUCUCCGAUGGGCUCAAAUGAAGGCAACAAAAACAAGAGAAGAACUGUCAGAAACUGUACUUUGGUACAGAAUAUGCAGGGACUUAAGGAGUUUAGUAUGAGUGCUGGAGCUUUGGCUGAGAGGGAGAAAGCACUGGAGUGUAUAUGAGGUUAGCCUUAUUUGCUGCAAAUAAUUAAGAUGGUGGUUUGCGAACUGUUGGCUUCUGGAGUACCUGCUUCAGCUUGCCGAGAGGAUAUGGAUACCUGCUGCAACCUGCUUCUGGACCGUGUGCUUAUCAUUUAGUUAUCAAUAAUAUAUAUGUAUGCAAGUCGCUUUCACUACAAAGCUAGCUGGACUGCCCAACAUAUGAUUCAGAACUUAUAUUUUCAGAACUAAUCAGUUGUGAUUCAGAACCUAGCUGUGAUUCAGAACCUAGCUGUGAUUCAGAACCAUACUCCUAUGUCUCAGUCUUAUAUAUGUUUCUGGUUUGGCAUGUUAACAAAUAUGAUUUUGCAAGCUACAAAGCAAGUAUGUUUCUCAGUCUUAUAUAUA